UUGAACGCUGGCGGCAGGCCUAACACAUGCAAGUCGAACGGUAACAGGAAGCAGCUUGCUGCUUCGCUGACGAGUGGCGGACGGGUGAGUAAUGUCUGGGAAACUGCCUGAUGGAGGGGGAUAACUACUGGAAACGGUAGCUAAUACCGCAUAACGUCGCAAGACCAAAGAGGGGGAUCUUAGGGCCUCUUGCCAUCGGAUGUGCCCAGAUGGGAUUAGCUAGUAGGUGGGGUAACGGCUCACCUAGGCGACGAUCCCUAGCUGGUCUGAGAGGAUGACCAGCCACACUGGAACUGAGACACGGUCCAGACUCCUACGGGAGGCAGCAGUGGGGAAUAUUGCACAAUGGGCGCAAGCCUGAUGCAGCCAGGCCGCGUGUAUGAAGAAGGCCUUCGGGUUGUAAAGUACUUUCAGCGGGGAGGAAGGGAGUAAAGUUAAUACCUUUGCUCAUUGACGUUACCCGCAGAAGAAGCACCGGCUAACUCCGUG
This 489-nucleotide ribosomal RNA is filed under the name uncultured bacterium. RNAcentral describes it as "partial 16S ribosomal RNA". It matches the Rfam family "Bacterial small subunit ribosomal RNA", at positions 30 to 507 of the family's 1533-position model. The record is from RNAcentral.